RNAcentral lists this non-coding RNA (23 nucleotides) under Arabidopsis thaliana (thale cress). The record is from RNAcentral. Lineage: Eukaryota; Viridiplantae; Streptophyta; Magnoliopsida; Brassicales; Brassicaceae.
UGAGACAAGGUCCUAACUUUAGA